AUAAUUAAAGGAGAGCUUGGAGAGAUCGUGGCUGAACUUGAAGAGAGUAGAAGAAAACUAGUCAGGCUGAAAAUGCAAAAGGAUGCAGCUAUGGGAAUGAAUUCCUCCAAUGCUGAUGCUAUGAAUGGAAGCUUGUCUGCUGAGAAGCCUGCAGAGAGAGCCAUGGUUUUGUCUGUGUUGAAGAAUUCAAUUGAGGAAGCCAAGAUAGUGAAUUCUGAUCGUCUUUCUGAGCUUCAAGAUGCACGGGAAGGAAAUCAAAUAUUAACAAAGCAAUUCCAAGAACUUCAGAAUGAACUAAAUGAUGAUAAUAUGUACACACUUCCCGAGUAUACUCUAUGGAAAAUGAUCAACUUCAACAUUGGAUCGCUGAAUUGGAUAGAUAUAAAUCAUUAACAGUGUCUCUGCAGGCUGGCAGGGUUAACGUCGCAAAGUGGAAGAGGCCAAAGAGGAUACUGGGAGAAAUGAUAUCAAAGCUGAGUUUCGUGUGAUAUCUUCAGCUUUAUCUAAAGAAAUGGGGAUGAUGGAAACACAGUUGAAGCGAUCGAAAGAUGCAGCUCUUAAAGCUGUAGCAUUGCGUGAGAAAGCACAUUCAUUCAGCGAAAUUGAGU
Medicago truncatula (barrel medic) is the source of this 608-nucleotide long non-coding RNA. RefSeq lists it as uncharacterized. NCBI's taxonomy places the organism in Eukaryota, Viridiplantae, Streptophyta, Magnoliopsida, Fabales, Fabaceae. The transcript has 5 exons. The record is from RefSeq and is a predicted model, not a curated record.